Long non-coding RNA from Chroicocephalus ridibundus (black-headed gull), 679 nucleotides. RefSeq lists it as uncharacterized. The record is from RefSeq and is a predicted model, not a curated record. NCBI's taxonomy places the organism in Eukaryota, Metazoa, Chordata, Aves, Charadriiformes, Laridae. The transcript has 3 exons.
CUGUGGAAAAGCGAGAGGAAACAUGUCUGCGCACUGCUUGUUAGAGUAACAGCUUGUGACUGCACUCAGAAACGAUUCUCCUAAAGACCCAGUCUCCUCCUGUUACCGAGAGCACAGCGAUGGAUUUUUGACUAUGACGGGGAGUGCCAGAGGUGAUUACACAUAAUGGGCCUGACUCUGAAGCACUCUGGGAGGUGUCUGGAAACCGCUGCAUCCCUCCCUUGGAUCACACCACAUGAUGGCAACGGACCUGCUGAUUUGAGCAAGUCCUUGGACUCAGGUUCAUCUGUUUCAGAAGACCAAAUUUGAUGUGGAUUUUUCAUCUGGGCACGGCAAUCUGGGUUACAGGAGGCAUCACGGUUAUAAGGGACAGUGAAGCUCGAAGAUCUCUUCAAACAAGAGCAAAGUCACUGGGCUGUAGGUCUGUGCCAGCCUCCGGAUCUGACCCUACGGCUAGUGGGGCAAGCGAGGGACGUGCCCACCCACUGCGAAGGGCCGGGCUUGUCUGCAAGCACGUGCUACUGGGACGCGUUUCUCCCAGUUCAACGCUCUGCUGCUCGAAGCAAGGCUUUGCUGUUGUAGCCUGUGCCGCAAUGUGUAAAGUAGCUAAGGCUUUUCCCCCUAACUGUGCCCCAUAAGUAUUUCUGUACUAUCGGUAAGGAGCAAAAUAGCUCUUCAA